This 425-nucleotide ribosomal RNA is filed under the name uncultured rumen bacterium. Its description in RNAcentral is "bacterial SSU rRNA". It matches the Rfam family "Bacterial small subunit ribosomal RNA", at positions 354 to 776 of the family's 1533-position model. The record is from RNAcentral.
GUGGGGAAUAUUGGACAAUGGCCGGAAGGCUGAUCCAGCCAUGCCGCGUGCGGGAGGACGGCCCUAUGGGUUGUAAACCGCUUUUGCGAGGGAGCAAUAAGAGUCACGUGUGGCUCGAUGAGAGUACCUCGCGAAUAAGCAUCGGCUAACUCCGUGCCAGCAGCCGCGGUAAUACGGAGGAUGCAAGCGUUAUCCGGAUUUAUUGGGUUUAAAGGGUGCGUAGGCGGUUUGCUAAGCGGGAGGUGAAAUGCCGGCGCUCAACGUCGGAAGUGCCUCCCGAACUGGUGGACUGGAAUGACUCUGCCGUGGGAGGAAUGUGUAGUGUAGCGGUGAAAUGCUUAGAGAUUACACAGAACACCGAUUGCGAAGGCAUCUCACGAAGGGUUGAUUGACGCUGAGGCACGAAAGCGUGGGGAUCAAACAGG